AGUGAACGCUGGCGGUAGGCCUAACACAUGCAAGUCGAACGGCAGCACAGUAAGAGCUUGCUCUUACGGGUGGCGAGUGGCGGACGGGUGAGGAAUACAUCGGAAUCUACUUUUUCGUGGGGGGUAACGUAGGGAAACUUACGCUAAUACCGCAUACGACCUACGGGUGAAAGCAGGGGAUCUUCGGACCUUGCGCGAUUGAAUGAGCCGAUGUCGGAUUAGCUAGUUGGCGGGGUAAAGGCCCACCAAGGCGACGAUCCGUAGCUGGUCUGAGGGGAUGAUCAGCCACACUGGGACUGAGACACGGUCCAGACUCCUAUGGGAGGCAGCAGUGGGGAAUAUUGGACAAUGGGCGCAAGCCUGAUCCAGCCAUACCGCGUGGGUGAAGAAGGCCUUCGGGUUGUAAAGCCCUUUUGUUGUGAAAGAAAAGCAGCAGGUUAAUACCCCGCUGUUCUGACGGUACCCAAAGAAUAAGCACCGGCUAACUUCGUG
Molecule: ribosomal RNA, 492 nt
Filed under: uncultured bacterium
Lineage: Bacteria
Description: partial 16S ribosomal RNA
Rfam family: Bacterial small subunit ribosomal RNA
Source: RNAcentral